ACCGAUAAAUCUGCCGAUAAGAUACAAAUGGUGUGUUCCAUUUGAGAAGAAGGACUUUGUGGGCUUGGACACAGACAGCAGGCACUAGAAGAAACGCUGUCAGGGCCGCACGAGGAAGCACGUCGGGAUCUGUGUUUGCAGGCAGGCAUGCUGCAGGACGCCCUCGUACAUUAUCACAUGGCUGUAGAGCUGCUGCGGGCUUGUGUUCUGCGUCUGUCAUCUUCCAUUACCCAGGAUGCACCUGGCGUCUCCUCUGCUGCUGACACUGGAAAGAGACACAGACCUGGUGCUCUGACGACAGGUGGCAUCAGUGCAGACACAAGCAGUGAGAUCGGCCGAACCAAGAACUGCCUGAGUCAGGAGGACAUCAUGGAGAAAAACAAGGAGGCC
Carassius carassius (crucian carp) is the source of this 390-nucleotide long non-coding RNA. RefSeq lists it as uncharacterized. The transcript is spliced from 4 exons. The record is from RefSeq and is a predicted model, not a curated record. NCBI's taxonomy places the organism in Eukaryota, Metazoa, Chordata, Actinopteri, Cypriniformes, Cyprinidae.